This 321-nucleotide ribosomal RNA is filed under the name uncultured Pseudomonadota bacterium. Its description in RNAcentral is "bacterial SSU rRNA". It matches the Rfam family "Bacterial small subunit ribosomal RNA", at positions 29 to 351 of the family's 1533-position model. The record is from RNAcentral. Lineage: Bacteria; Pseudomonadati; Pseudomonadota.
AGUGAACGCUGGCGGCGUGCUUAACACAUGCAAGUCGAACGGAGAGAAAGAAGUUUACUUUUUCUCUUAGUGGCGCACGGGUGAGUAAUGUAUAGCUAACAUGCCCUUUAGAGGGGGAUAACAGUUGGAAACGACUGCUAAUACCCCAUACUCCUUCUUUCUUAAUGAGAGUCGGGAAAGUUUUUCGCUAAAGGAUUGGGCUAUAUGGUAUCAGCUUGUUGGUGAGGUAACGGCUCACCAAGGCUAUGACACCUAGCUGGUCUGAGAGGAUGAUCAGCCACACUGGAACUGAGACACGGUCCAGACUCCUACGGGUGGCUG